Molecule: ribosomal RNA, 253 nt
Filed under: uncultured bacterium
Lineage: Bacteria
Description: partial 16S ribosomal RNA
Rfam family: Bacterial small subunit ribosomal RNA
Source: RNAcentral
UACGUAGGGGGCUAGCGUUGUCCGGAAUUAUUGGGCGUAAAGAGCUCGUAGGCGGUUUGUUGCGUCGGCUGUGAAAUCCCGAGGCUCAACCUCGGGUCUGCAGUCGAUACGAGCAAACUAGAGUGUUGCAGGGGAGACUGGAAUUCCUGGUGUAGCGGUGAAAUGCGCAGAUAUCAGGAGGAACACCGGUGGCGAAGGCGGGUCUCUGGGCAACAACUGACGCUGAUGGACGAAAGCGUGGGUAGCGAACAGG